Molecule: long non-coding RNA, 333 nt
Organism: Urocitellus parryii (Arctic ground squirrel)
Lineage: Eukaryota; Metazoa; Chordata; Mammalia; Rodentia; Sciuridae
Source: RefSeq, a predicted model, not a curated record
CCCGCCCCUCGUCGAGUUCAGAGAAACGCGCAGGGCUGGAGUGACCUUAACGUUCAUCAGUACCCAAUGAGACGCCCAGAGAAGCGUGACCUCCCAAGACACUAGGAUUACAGACAGGCAUGCACCACCGUGACCCCAUGGGACUGAAAUUCUGAAGACACCUGAAAGGACCCUUCUCUAAAUGGCCCAACUGCAAAAUUCCCCGCAUAUGUGCUCCAAGCUCUAAGAUGAUUCAAGUAAGAAGAAGGGCACACAAGAGAAGUUGCCCAUUGAAAACUCAUUUGUUGCCAGGCACAGUGGCACAGGUCUGUAAUCCCAGCAGUUUGGGCAGCU